CAGUAGCCGCGGGAAUACGUAGGUGGCGAGCGUUGUCCGGAAUUAUUGGGCGUAAAGGGAGCGCAGGCGGGCGAGUAAGUCUUUCUUAAAAGUGCGGGGCUCAACCCCGUGAGGGGAGAGAAACUACUCAUCUUGAGUGCAGGAGAGGAAAGCGGAAUUCCUAGUGUAGCGGUGAAAUGCGUAGAUAUUUGGAAGAACACCAGUGGCGAAGGCGACUUUCUGGACGAAAACUGACGCUGAGGCGCGAAAGCCAGGGGAGCGAACGGGAUUAGAUACCCCAGUAGUCCCUGUCUCUUAUACA
Molecule: ribosomal RNA, 301 nt
Filed under: uncultured bacterium
Lineage: Bacteria
Description: partial 16S ribosomal RNA
Rfam family: Bacterial small subunit ribosomal RNA
Source: RNAcentral